CCUACGAGAGGCAGCAGUGAGGAAUAUUGGUCCAUGGUCGGGAGACUGAACCAGCCAAGCCGCGUGAGGGAUGAAGGUACAGAGUAUCGUAAACCUCUUUUGUCAGGGAACAAAGGCGGGGACGUGUCCCCGUAUGAGUGUACCUGAAGAGAAAGCAUCGGCUAACUCCGUGCCAGCAGCCGCGGUAAUACGGAGGAUGCGAGCGUUAUCCGGCUUUAUUGGGUUUAAAGGGUGCGCAGGCGGUCUGUUAAGUCAGAGGUCAAAGCCGGGGGCUCACCCCCGGCCCGCCGUUGAAACUGGCAGCCUCGAGUUGGAGAGAAGUAUGCGGAAUGCGCGGUGUAGCGGUGAAAUGCAUAGAUAUCGCGCAGAACUCCGAUUGCGAAGGCAGCAUGCCGGCUCCACACUGACGCUGAGGCACGAAAGCGUGGGUAUCGAACAGGAUUAGAUACCCCAGUAGUC
RNAcentral lists this ribosomal RNA (459 nucleotides) under uncultured bacterium. Its description in RNAcentral is "partial 16S ribosomal RNA". It matches the Rfam family "Bacterial small subunit ribosomal RNA", at positions 338 to 795 of the family's 1533-position model. The record is from RNAcentral.